RNAcentral lists this long non-coding RNA (236 nucleotides) under Lotus japonicus. Its description in RNAcentral is "long non-coding RNA (LJAP_LNC001021)". Lineage: Eukaryota; Viridiplantae; Streptophyta; Magnoliopsida; Fabales; Fabaceae. The record is from RNAcentral.
AGGAAAGGGGUGGUGCAGCGAAAAGCUUGGAAUACGAAGAUUUUUUGACUUUAUUCUCCCGAUCAUGUUGGCAAUUGUUUUUUCAUUUUGUUAAAAACUUUAGGUUUUAUCAUUGUUUAGUCUUUCAUAGUCCUCGCCUUGGUUUCUUCUGUUUAAAGACAUACUUAGCUCUCAUGCUUCGAGCUCGGUGUCUUAUGGACUUGUGGACUGGGCGAGACCCCAGGGUCCCUCGCCCA